RNAcentral lists this ribosomal RNA (265 nucleotides) under uncultured archaeon. RNAcentral's name for it is "partial 16S ribosomal RNA". It matches the Rfam family "Archaeal small subunit ribosomal RNA", at positions 718 to 982 of the family's 1478-position model. The record is from RNAcentral.
AGUCACUGACAUUAGAUACCCCUGUAGUCCUAGCCGUAAACGAUACUCGCUAGGUGUCGGCCACGGUGCGACCGUUGUCGGUGCCGUAGGGAAGCCGUGAAGCGAGCCACCUGGGAAGUGCGGCCGCAAGGCUGAAACUUAAAGGAAUUGGCGGGGGAGCACCGCAACGGGAGGAGCGUGCGGUUCAAUUGGAUUCGACGCCGAAAAACUCACCAGGAGCGACGGAUAUAUGAAGGUCAAGCUGAUGACUUUACCUGAUUUUCCG